UACGGGGGGGGCAAGCGUUGUUCGGAAUUACUGGGCGUAAAGGGCUCGUAGGCGGCCAACUAAGUCCGACGUGAAAUCCCCAGGCUUAACCUGGGAACUGCGUCGGAUACUGGAUGGCUUGAAUUCGGGAGAGGGAUGCAGAAUUCCAGGUGUAGCGGUGAAAUGCGUAGAUAUCUGGAGGAAUACCGGUGGCGAAGGCGGCAUCCUGGACUGACAUUGACGCUGAUGAGCGAAAGCUAGGGGAGCAAACGGG
This 253-nucleotide ribosomal RNA is filed under the name uncultured bacterium. Its description in RNAcentral is "partial 16S ribosomal RNA". It matches the Rfam family "Bacterial small subunit ribosomal RNA", at positions 524 to 776 of the family's 1533-position model. The record is from RNAcentral.